RNAcentral lists this ribosomal RNA (921 nucleotides) under human gut metagenome. RNAcentral describes it as "bacterial SSU rRNA". It matches the Rfam family "Bacterial small subunit ribosomal RNA", at positions 475 to 1398 of the family's 1533-position model. The record is from RNAcentral.
GUACCUCUCGAAUAAGCCACGGCUAACUACGUGCCAGCAGCCGCGGUAAGACGUAGGUGGCAAGCGUUACUCGGAAUUACUAGGCGUAAAGCGCGCGUAGGCGGAAUGUUAAGUCUGUUGUGUAAUCUCUGGGCUCAACCCAGAAACUGCAACAGAAACUGGCGUUCUUGAGUGAGGCAGAGGAAAUCGGAAUUCCUAGUGUAGCAGUGAAAUGCGUAGAUAUUAGGAGGAACACCGGUGGCGAAGGCGGAUUUCUGGGCCUUUACUGACGCUAAAGUGCGAAAGCUAGGGGAGCAAACGGGAUUAGAUACCCCGGUAGUCCUAGCCGUAAACGAUGAUAACUAGGUGUGGGAGGUAUCGACCCCUUCCGUGCCGCCGCUAACGCAUUAAGUUAUCCGCCUGGGGAGUACGGCCGCAAGGUUAAAACUCAAAGGAAUUGACGGGGACCCGCACAAGAGGUGGAGUAUGUGGUUUAAUUCGACGCUACGCGAAAAACCUUACCUGGGCUCGAACGACUGGUGGUAAGACUUAUGAAAGUAGGUCUGACCCGCAAGGGAGCCAGCCGAGGUGCUGCAUGGUUGUCGUCAGCUCGUGUCGUGAGAUGUUGGGUUAAGUCCCGCAACGAGCGCAACCCCUAUCCUGUGUUGCCUAGCAAUAGGAUCUCUCAGGAGACUGCCGCGGAUAACGUGGAGGAAGGUGGGGAUGACGUCAAAUCAUCAUGGCCUUUAUGUCCAGGGCUACACACGUACUACAAUGGUAUAGACAGAGGGUAGCAAUACCGUAAGGUGGAGCCAAUCCCUAAACUAUGCCCCAGUUCAGAUUGUGGGCUGCAAUUCGCCCACAUGAAGCCGGAAUCUCUAGUAAUCGCAGAUCAGCACGCUGCGGUGAAUACGUUCCCGGGUCUUGUACACACCGCCCGUC